CAGCCGCCGCGGGAAUACGUAGGUGGCAAGCGUUGUCCGGAAUUAUUGGGCGUAAAGGGCCCGCAGGCGGUUUCUUAAGUCUGAUGUGAAAGCCCCCGGCUCAACCGGGGAGGGUCAUUGGAAACUGGGAAACUUGAGUGCAGAAGAGGAGAGUGGAAUUCCACGUGUAGCGGUGAAAUGCGUAGAGAUGUGGAGGAACACCAGUGGCGAGGGCGACUCUCUGGUCUGUAACUGACGCUGAGGAGCGAAAGCGUGGAGAGCGAACAGGAUUAGAUACCCCCGUAGUCCCUGUCUCUUAUAC
RNAcentral lists this ribosomal RNA (301 nucleotides) under uncultured bacterium. Its description in RNAcentral is "partial 16S ribosomal RNA". It matches the Rfam family "Bacterial small subunit ribosomal RNA", at positions 509 to 807 of the family's 1533-position model. The record is from RNAcentral.